GUCGGUAUAGCACAACGGUUAGUGCUCCAGUCUUCCAAACUGGAGAUGUGGGUUCGAUUCCCAUUACCGACU
This 72-nucleotide transfer RNA is filed under the name Caudoviricetes sp. Its description in RNAcentral is "tRNA-Gly". It matches the Rfam family "tRNA". Rfam says of the family: Transfer RNA (tRNA) molecules are approximately 80 nucleotides in length. Their secondary structure includes four short double-helical elements and three loops (D, anti-codon, and T loops). Further hydrogen bonds mediate the characteristic L-shaped molecular structure. tRNAs have two regions of fundamental functional importance: the anti-codon, which is responsible for specific mRNA codon recognition, and the 3' end, to which the tRNAs corresponding amino acid is attached (by aminoacyl-tRNA synthetases). tRNAs cope with the degeneracy of the genetic code in two manners: having more than one tRNA (with a specific anti-codon) for a particular amino acid; and 'wobble' base-pairing, i.e. permitting non-standard base-pairing at the 3rd anti-codon position. Lineage: Duplodnaviria; Heunggongvirae; Uroviricota; Caudoviricetes. The record is from RNAcentral.